GCCGGGGUGGCAGAGAGGCACUGCGGUGGACUCGAGAUCCACUGCCCGCAAGGGCACCUGGGUUCAAGUCCCAGCCCCGGCG
This 82-nucleotide transfer RNA is filed under the name Archaeoglobus sp. RNAcentral's name for it is "tRNA-Ser". It matches the Rfam family "tRNA". Rfam says of the family: Transfer RNA (tRNA) molecules are approximately 80 nucleotides in length. Their secondary structure includes four short double-helical elements and three loops (D, anti-codon, and T loops). Lineage: Archaea; Methanobacteriati; Methanobacteriota; Archaeoglobi; Archaeoglobales; Archaeoglobaceae. The record is from RNAcentral. RNAcentral also lists the same sequence under 1 other name.